This 5376-nucleotide long non-coding RNA is filed under the name Cinara cedri. The record is from RNAcentral. Lineage: Eukaryota; Metazoa; Arthropoda; Insecta; Hemiptera; Aphididae.
UUAUUUCCAGCAUUUUAUUUACACCCGCCAGAGAUAACCCUUCAAUUUGUAGAUCAAUUAUUUUAAUUGUACACAUGUUGUUCUUUUCAAAACAGAGGACAUGUUGUUUCUUCCAUUAUCAUAUAGUCAUAACAUUAUAAAUUGGAUAAAUUGUGAUAUGAUUUAAUGUAUACUCACAGUAGUGGUUACAAAAAAACAGUAAUAGACCGUAAUUGAAAGAUAUUACUUAUAUUUAUAAUCAUGGUGAAUAUUAUAAUUUAAAGACUGAUUGACAUUGACAACAUUUAUGAACCUAGGUAACAUUUCUAUGGUAGUAGUCAAACAUUCAAUUUACAGUGAUAAACAUUUACCUUAAUGUCAAUAUGGCUAUGUACAAUUAAUAAUGGUACAAAUUAUCAUUUGAGUGUCCGAUGCAUUAAAAUGAGAUCCUGAAAUGGAAAGGUUAUAACGAGUCUAAUGAAAUAUACUGGCUCGAUAUAACCCUUCAAUUCUAACAUCUUUCAUUCUAUAAUGUUCAAAUAUCAUAGUCCUAAAUACAACAAAGGGGUCGAUUAUAAAAAUUCCUAACACUAUAUCUAAAUUUAAUUGGAUAUUUAAUUUAUUAAAAUACAAUAAACAGACAUAUUGAUAGCUUAUCAUUAAAUAAAAGUGAACCCUGAUAUUAAAAUGCUAAAACAACACAUAAUUUUCAAUUUGUUCAAUUUCAAAAACAAAAUUAUUAUAAGAUAUUAUUGAUCCAAAACGAUAAAGUCUAUUAUAAAGAAAAAGUAUAAUAUAUACUCACCAGGAUGAAACAGAAUUCUGAAAAUUGAACAUGAUGAAAAUUCCAAAAUGAGAUGAUUUAAAAUGCACUAGGUUGACUUGUUUCGAAGUAGUUUUCAUUGAACUGAUUGUAGAUCACAAUUUGUUUUAGCUCGUACACACUUAAUGAAUUGACAUAUUCAAAAUCUGAAAGAUAAAACAAAAUUAGAAUAAAUCUAAUAUAAGGGGCACAUGUAAAUUAAACAAAUAAUAAUAGUUUGACAAUGUUUAGAAAUUUACAGUAUGAUUUUACGCUUUUAGAAAAAAUAUACAGUCAACUUGAUAAAAAACUAUCAAAAAAUAAAUUACUUAGAGAGCUGUAGACGAUCUUUAAUUGCAUAAAGAGCAAUUAGUUGAUAGAAAUUUGCAUACAAAAUCUUCAAAUUGACAGAUUAUUUCCUGCAUAUGAAUUAUACACUACAGAGAUAACCCUUUAAUUUGAAGAUCAAUUAUUUUAAUUGUACACAUGUUGUUCUUUUCAAAACAGAGGAUAUGUUGUUUCUUCCAUUAUCAUAUAGUCAUAACAUUAUAAAUUGGAUAAAUUGUGAUAUGAUUUAAUGUAUACUCACAGUAGUGGUUACAAAAAAACAGUAAUAGACCGAGAUUGAAAGAUAUUACUUAUAUUCAUAAUCAUGGUGAAUAUUAUAAUUUAAAGACUGAUUGACAUUGACAACAUUUAUGAACCUAGGUAACAUUUCUAUGGUAGUAGUCAAACAUUCAAUUUACAGUGAUAANUUGGAUAUUUAAUUUAUUAAAAUACAAUAAACAGACAUAUUGAUAGCUUAUCAUUAAAUGUAUGUGAACCCUGAUAUUAAAAUGCUAAAACAACACAUAAUUUUCAAUUUGUUCAAUUUCAAAAACAAAAUUAUUAUAAGCCAUUAUUGAUCCAAAACGAUAAAGUCUAUUAUAAAGAAAAAGUAUAAUAUAUACUCACCAGGAUGAAACAGAAUUCAGAAAAUUGAACAUGAUGAAAAUUCCAAAAUGAGAUGAUUCAAAAUGCACUAGGUUGACUUGUUGCGAAGUAGUUUUCAUUGAACUGAUUGUAGAUCACAAUUUGUUUUAGCUCGUACACACUUAAUGAAUUGACAUAUUCAAAAUCUGAAAGAAAAAACAAAAUUAGAAUAAAUCUAAUAUAAGGGGCACAUGUAAAUUAAACAAAUAAUAAUAGUUUGACAAUGUUUAGAAAUUUACAGUAUGAUUUUACCCUUUUAGAAAAAUAUACAGUCAACUUGAUAAAAAACUAUCAAAAAAUAAAUUACUUAGAGAGCUGUAGACGGUCUAUAAUUGCAUAAAGUGCAAUUAGUUGAUAGAAGAUUGCAUAAAAAAUCCUCAAAUUGACAGGUUAUUUCCAGCAUUUUAUUUACACCCGCCAGAGAUAACCCUUCAAUUUGAAGAUCAAUUAUUUUAAUUGUACACAUGUUGUUCUAUUCAAAACAGAGGAUGUGUUGUUGCUUCCAUUAUUAUAUAGUCAUUACAUUAUAAAUUGCGUAAAUUGUGAUAUAAUUUAAUGCAUACCUGGAUUAGUGGUUACAAAACAACAGUUAUAGAUUGAGAUUGAAAGAAAAUCUUUAAAUUCAUAAAGCUAGUAAAUAUUAAAGACAUUUAUGGACCUAGGUAACAUUUCUAUUGUAGUAGUCAAACAUUCAAUUUACAGUGAUAAACAUUUACUUUAAUGUCAAUAUGGCUAUGUACAAUUAAGAAUGGUACAAAUUAUUAUUUGAGUGAUGGAUGCAUUUAAAUGAGAUCCUGAAAUCGAAAGGUUAUAACGAGCCUAAUGAAAUAUACUGGCUCGAUAUAAUACUUCAAUUCUAACAUCUUUCAUUCUAUAAUGUUCAAAUAUCAUAGUCCUAAAUAAAACAAAGGGGUAGAUUAUACAAAUUCCAAACACUAUAUCUAACUAUAAUUCGAUACUUAAUUUAUUAAAAUACAAUAAACAGACAUAUUGAUAGCUUAUCAUUAAAUGUAUGUGAACCCUGAUAUUAAAAUGCUAAAACAACGCAUAAUUUUCAAUUUGUUCAAUUUCAAAAACAAAAUUAUUAUAAGCCAUUAUUGAUCCAAAACGAUAAAGUCUAUUAUAAAGAAAAAGUAUAAUAUAUACUCACCAGGAUGAAACAGAAUUCUGAAAAUUGAACAUGAUGAAAAUUCUAAAAUGAGAUGAUUCAAAAUGCCCUAGGUUGACCUGUUGCGAAGUAGUUUUCAUUGAACUGAUUGUAGAUCACAAUUUGUUUUAGCUCGUACACACUUAAUGAAUUGACAUAUUCAAAAUCUGAAAGAAAAAACAAAAUUAGAAUAAAUCUAAUAUAAGGGGCACAUGUAAAUUAAACAAAUAAUAAUAGUUUGACAAUGUUUAGAAAUUUACAGUAUGAUUUUACGCUUUUAGAAAAAAUAUACAGUCAACUUGAUAAAAAACUAUCAAAAAAUAAAUUACUUAGAGAGCUGUAGACGGUCUAUAAUUGCAUAAAGUGCAAUUAGUUGAUAGAAGAUUGCAUAAAAAAUCCUCAAAUUGACAGGUUAUUUCCAGCAUUUUAUUUACACCCGCCAGAGAUAACCCUUCAAUUUGUAGAUCAAUUAUUUUAAUUGUACACAUGUUGUUCUUUUCAAAACAGAGGACAUGUUGUUUCUUCCAUUAUCAUAUAGUCAUAACAUUAUAAAUUGGAUAAAUUGUGAUAUGAUUUAAUGUAUACUCACAGUAGUGGUUACAAAAAAACAGUAAUAGACCGAGAUUGAAAGAUAUUACUUAUAUUCAUAAUCAUGGUGAAUAUAAGUAAUAUCNCAAAGGGUUCGAUUAUAAAAAUUCCUAACACUAUAUCUAAAUUUAAUUGGAUAUUUAAUUUAUUAAAAUACAAUAAACAGACAUAUUGAUAGCUUAUCAUUAAAUGUAAGUGAACCCUGAUAUUAAAAUGCUAAAACAACACAUAAUUUUCAAUUUGUUCAAUUUCAAAAACAAAAUUAUUAUAAGCCAUUAUUGAUCCAAAACGAUAAAGUCUAUUAUAAAGAAAAAGUAUAAUAUAUACUCACCAGGAUGAAACAGAAUUCAGAAAAUUGAACAUGAUGAAAAUUCCAAAAUGAGAUGAUUCAAAAUGCACUAGGUUGACUUGUUGCGAAGUAGUUUUCAUUGAACUGAUUGUAGAUCACAAUUUGUUUUAGCUCGUACACACUUAAUGAAUUGACAUAUUCAAAAUCUGAAAGAUAAAACAAAAUUAGAAUAAAUCUAAUAUAAGGGGCACAUGUAAAUUAAACAAAUAAUAAUAGUUUGACAAUGUUUAGAAAUUUACAGUAUGAUUUUACGCUUUUAGAAAAAAUAUACAGUCAACUUGAUAAAAAACUAUCAAAAAAUAAAUUACUUAGAGAGCUGUAGACGGUCUAUAAUUGCAUAAAGUGCAAUUAGUUGAUAGAAGAUUGCAUAAAAAAUCCUCAAAUUGACAGGUUAUUUCCAGCAUUUUAUUUACACCCGCCAGAGAUAACCCUUCAAUUUGUAGAUCAAUUAUUUUAAUUGUACACAUGUUGUUCUUUUCAAAACAGAGGACAUGUUGUUUCUUCCAUUAUCAUAUAGUCAUAACAUUAUAAAUUGGAUAAAUUGUGAUAUGAUUUAAUGUAUACUCACAGUAGUGGUUACAAAAAAACAGUAAUAGACCGAGAUUGAAAGAUAUUACUUAUAUUCAUAAUCAUGGUGAAUAUUAUAAUUUAAAGACUGAUUGACAUUGACAACAUUUAUGAACCUAGGUAACAUUUCUAUGGUAGUAGUCAAACAUUCAAUUUACAGUGAUAAACAUUUACCUUAAUGUCAAUAUGGCUAUGUACAAUUAAUAAUGGUACAAAUUAUCAUUUGAGUGUCCGAUGCAUUAAAAUGAGAUCCUGAAAUGGAAAGGUUAUAACGAGUCUAAUGAAAUAUACUGGCUCGAUAUAACCCUUCAAUUCUAACAUCUUUCAUUCUAUAAUGUUCAAAUAUCAUAGUCCUAAAUACAACAAAGGGUUCGAUUAUAAAAAUUCCUAACACUAUAUCUAAAUUUAAUUGGAUAUUUAAUUUAUUAAAAUACAAUAAACAGACAUAUUGAUAGCUUAUCAUUAAAUGUAAGUGAACCCUGAUAUUAAAAUGCUAAAACAACACAUAAUUUUCAAUUUGUUCAAUUUCAAAAACAAAAUUAUUAUAAGCCAUUAUUGAUCCAAAACGAUAAAGUCUAUUAUAAAGAAAAAGUAUAAUAUAUACUCACCAGGAUGAAACAGAAUUCAGAAAAUUGAACAUGAUGAAAAUUCCAAAAUGAGAUGAUUCAAAAUGCACUAGGUUGACUUGUUGCGAAGUAGUUUUCAUUGAACUGAUUGUAGAUCACAAUUUGUUUUAGCUCGUACACACUUAAUGAAUUGACAUAUUCAAAAUCUGAAAGAUAAAACAAAAUUAGAAUAAAUCUAAUAUAAGGGGCACAUGUAAAUUAAACAAAUAAUAAUAGUUUGACAAUGUUUAGAAAUUUACAGUAUGAUUUUACACUUUUAGAAAAAAUAUACAGUCAACUUGAUAAAAAACUAUCAAAAAAUAAAUUACUUAGAGAGCUGAAGACGGUCUAUAAUUGCAUAAAGUGC